GACCGCAUUGUUCUGAGAUUGGAAAACUCAACACGAAAUUUAUACUGAGUCGGUCGGUUUUCAAUGGCGGGCUGCAACCUUCGGGUUUCCGAUUUUUCGGAACAGCAGAUUACAAAGAGAAUUAGUGGCUCAAAUCCUGUUUACAGGAGUUUUCUCAACAGAAUAACAAUGCGGUUCUUUUG
Molecule: small RNA, 182 nt
Filed under: uncultured Paludibacter sp.
Lineage: Bacteria; Pseudomonadati; Bacteroidota; Bacteroidia; Bacteroidales; Paludibacteraceae
Description: Bacteroidales-1
Rfam family: Bacteroidales-1 6S-Bacteroidales RNA suggested
Source: RNAcentral